UCUUUUUUCUUUCCUUUCUUUAUAUUUUUUCUUCUUCUCCUUCUUCUUCUUCUUCUUCUUCUUCUUCUUCUUUCUCUAUCAUCCCAUAAUAAUUCUUACUCUAAACUUUAUUUUUUCUAUUGUUCAUAAAGUAAAGAUACUACGUAUCAUUUACGUCACACGAUAAGAGGUACGCAUUAAAUAUCUCUUUUUUAGUCUACCUCUCUCCUUUUACCAACAAUCAAUCUCUAUGAAGAAUUGUUAUUAUUUACAAUUACGUAAUAAAAAUUUAACAAUGUAUAUUUAAUAUACAUUGUUAUAAGAUAAGAUUUAAUAAUCUUAAGGAAAAUAAUAUAAUAUAAUAGAAGUGUAAUAAAUUAAUCUUAUUAUUUGUAAUAUAUAACAUGAUUUUCGUUUCAAUCGAAAAUUUCUAAAUUAUCAUCCGCGUGAUUUAAUAAAAGGGAUUUUAAUAUAAAGGAUUGAAAAAGCGCGGGAAAAAUGAAAGAAUUAUUUGAAAUUCCAUAGAUGGAAAUAUUUAUUAUAGGAGAACGAUUAUAAUCGUUCAGAGGAAUCGUGAAUUAAAUCGACUUAUUAUGUAUAUCAGUUUCGUAUGAAAUGAUUCAUAGAUUUUCAUCUGUUCUCUAUACAUAUAUACAUACGUAUAUAUUUAUAUACAUAUAUAUAUAUGUGUUUGUAUGAAUUGUAAUUUGAAAUUAACAUCAAACGUAAAUGUUCAUUAAUAUUAACGAAUUCAUGUAUAAUCGUGUGAGCUACAUUUUUGUUACAAAUGAUCUCCAUAUUGUAUAUUCAAAUUAAAUAUUAAUAAUAAUAAUAAUAAUAAUAAUAAUAAUAAUAAUAAUAAUAAUAAUAAUAAUAAUGGAAAAUAAAAUUUUGUCGAAAAUCGUUCGAUCAGUCUAGAAAAUAAAAGGGAGAAAAAAAUGGGGAAAGGGAGAGUAUUUUCCUUUUAUAAUUUCAUAUUAACUUCUUAAUAGACACACAAGUAGCACAAAUAUAUAAUAGAUAUCGUAUCAUUAAAAAUACGACAUUUUCGUGAUUUAGAUUGCGUUCAACGUUCAGUAACAUGCAAAAGAUAAGAUUGUUCUGUUAUGUCUAAUUAUACAUUUGAAAUCAAAUAUGACUAUAUAAAUGUGUGUGUAAAAGAGAAAGAGAGAGAGAGAGAGAGACUUCUGUUUUAACGAGAACGAGCAAACAUAUUACCGAUAAGAAAUUAUCUUCUCAAAUAUUUCAAGUGCGAAGGAUAAAAGUAACUGUAUAAACGAUGAUGAAUAAAUGAUUUAUUAAAAAUUAUUCUUCAAAA
This is a long non-coding RNA of Vespa mandarinia (Asian giant hornet), 1297 nucleotides long. Lineage: Eukaryota; Metazoa; Arthropoda; Insecta; Hymenoptera; Vespidae. The record is from RefSeq and is a predicted model, not a curated record.